This is a small nuclear RNA of Phodopus roborovskii (desert hamster), 163 nucleotides long. RefSeq annotates it as U1 spliceosomal RNA. The transcript has a single exon. The record is from RefSeq and is a predicted model, not a curated record. Lineage: Eukaryota; Metazoa; Chordata; Mammalia; Rodentia; Cricetidae.
AUUCCUACCGGGGGGAAGAAGAGAUACCAGGACCAAGAAGGUGGUUUUUCCCAGAGUGAAGCUUAUCCGCUGCACUCCAGAUAUGCUGACCUCUUGAAUUUCCCUGACAUGAGAAACUACAUAAUUUGUGGUAGUGGGGGGACUGCAUUUGUGCUCUCCCCUG